UACAUGAUACUCUCCCGUUCGGCGUGUGUGAUACAUACACUUCACAGGGCAAGGAGGCUCAAUCCAGGCUCCGACCAGUUUCAGAAAUAAGUCUGAGCAGCUUUGUCCUGUGAGAAACCCAUUUCAUCAUCAGCAGCAUGUCUUGGAAGGCAAGAAGCUAUCAGUAUUGCUGCCAUCCUUGGCAUCCCAUGUACACUAAAAGAAAAAAUCUGCAAUAUGUUGAUUCUGGGUGAUGAAGAUGGGGGGACAGCUUGGCCUGUCAUUGAGGGUAAUGACAACAGACUUGAGGACUGCACUUCAUUUGACGUGAUCAUUGAUGGGUUGGCUGUCAGCAGCUCCACUUGUCUCCUGACAUCGGUGAAAGUGUAUUUAGCCAGCUUUUAUGUUUUCAAUUUGGCUUAUCCCACAUGCCUCAGGAAAACUUUGUCUUUUUUCCAGAAAAUUGUCCUGAACAUCCAAGACAAUAUUCCUCUCGACCGCAGUGUUAUAUCUUGCCUUGACAAACUGAAUAGGUACAUUUGACUGUGACCAUUUUUCUUGGUUAAAGCAAUGUGUUACUAACAUAAACCAAGUAACUGCAUUUGUCUCAGUAGUUCCUCUUGAUCAAAGCAUUGUGUCUUACUAGAUAAACAAGUUACAUGUACAUAUACUGCAUUUGACUCAGUAUGUUCCCCUCGAUCAGAUCAUUGUGUGUUUAUACUAAAGUAAACCAAGUUAAGCUGCAUUUGACUCAUCAGUAUUUUUCCUCUUGAUAAACGCAUUAUGUCUUACUAUGAACAAGUUUUACUGCAUUUGACUUAGUAUGUUCCUCUCAAAGUAUUGUGUCUUACUAAAAUAAACCAAGUUAAACUGCAUUUCACUUAAUUAGCAUGUUCCUCUUGAUCAAAGCAUUAUGUCUUGUUAAGAUAAACUGAAUAUUCUUCUUAAAGGUACAUUACAGGAUUGAUAAGGAUCACUCAAAUACUUUAAUUGUUGAAUUUCUGUUUGAAAGCUUAAUGGUUAUGAAGUUAGUACUAGGACUGUGAAAUGUUUCCCCCUGAAAUAAGGGCAUAUUCGAAAAAACUACCU
Molecule: long non-coding RNA, 1068 nt
Organism: Asterias rubens (European starfish)
Lineage: Eukaryota; Metazoa; Echinodermata; Asteroidea; Forcipulatida; Asteriidae
Exons: 4
Source: RefSeq, a predicted model, not a curated record